Non-coding RNA from Lentithecium fluviatile CBS 122367, 95 nucleotides. Lineage: Eukaryota; Fungi; Ascomycota; Dothideomycetes; Pleosporales; Lentitheciaceae. The record is from the annotation of a GenBank genome assembly.
AACUAAAUAAGGCCGAGCGGUUAAGGCGCCAGCUUCAGGAUUGAGAGGUUCUGCUGGUCACGAAAGUGGCGUGGGUUCGAGUCCCACUCUUGUCA